GAUACAGGGUGACAGCCCCGUACACAAAAAUGCACAUACUGUGAGCUCGAUGAGUAGGGCGGGACACGUGGUAUCCUGUCUGAAUAUGGGGGGACCAUCCUCCAAGGCUAAAUACUCCUGACUGACCGAUAGUGAACCAGUACCGUGAGGGAAAGGCGAAAAGAACCCCGGCGAGGGGAGUGAAAAAGAACCUGAAACCGUGUACGUACAAGCAGUGGGAGCCUCUUAAUGGGGUGACUGCGUACCUUUUGUAUAAUGGGUCAGCGACUUAUAUUCUGUAGCAAGGUUAACCGAAUAGGGGAGCCGAAGGGAAACCGAGUCUUAACUGGGCGUUAAGUUGCAGGGUAUAGACCCGAAACCCGGUGAUCUAGCCAUGGGCAGGUUGAAGGUUGGGUAACACUAACUGGAGGACCGAACCGACUAAUGUUGAAAAAUUAGCGGAUGACUUGUGGCUGGGGGUGAAAGGCCAAUCAAACCGGGAGAUAGCUGGUUCUCCCCGAAAGCUAUUUAGGUAGCGCCUCGUGAAUUCAUCUCCGGGGGUAGAGCACUGUUUCGGCAAGGGGGUCAUCCCGACUUACCAACCCGAUGCAAACUGCGAAUACCGGAGAAUGUUAUCACGGGAGACACACGGCGGGUGCUAACGUCCGUCGUGAAGAGGGAAACAACCCAGACCGCCAGCUAAGGUCCCAAAGUCAUGGUUAAGUGGGAAACGAUGUGGGAAGGCCCAGACAGCCAGGAUGUUGGCUUAGAAGCAGCCAUCAUUUAAAGAAAGCGUAAUAGCUCACUGGUCGAGUCGGCCUGCGCGGAAGAUGUAACGGGGCUAAACCAUGCACCGAAGCUGCGGCAGCGACACUAUGUGUUGUUGGGUAGGGGAGCGUUCUGUAAGCCUGUGAAGGUGUACUGUGAGGUAUGCUGGAGGUAUCAGAAGUGCGAAUGCUGACAUAAGUAACGAUAAAGCGGGUGAAAAGCCCGCUCGCCGGAAGACCAAGGGUUCCUGUCCAACGUUAAUCGGGGCAGGGUGAGUCGACCCCUAAGGCGAGGCCGAAAGGCGUAGUCGAUGGGAAACAGGUUAAUAUUCCUGUACUUGGUGUUACUGCGAAGGGGGGACGGAGAAGGCUAUGUUGGCCGGGCGACGGUUGUCCCGGUUUAAGCGUGUAGGCUGGUUUUCCAGGCAAAUCCGGAAAAUCAAGGCUGAGGCGUGAUGACGAGGCACUACGGUGCUGAAGCGACAAAUGCCCUGCUUCCAGGAAAAGCCUCUAAGCAUCAGGUAACAUCAAAUCGUACCCCAAACCGACACAGGUGGUCAGGUAGAGAAUACCAAGGCGCUUGAGAGAACUCGGGUGAAGGAACUAGGCAAAAUGGUGCCGUAACUUCGGGAGAAGGCACGCUGAUAUGUAGGUGAAGCGACUUGCUCGUGGAGCUGAAAUCAGUCGAAGAUACCAGCUGGCUGCAACUGUUUAUUAAAAACACAGCACUGUGCAAACACGAAAGUGGACGUAUACGGUGUGACGCCUGCCCGGUGCCGGAAGGUUAAUUGAUGGGGUUAGCGGUAACGCGAAGCUCUUGAUCGAAGCCCCGGUAAACGGCGGCCGUAACUAUAACGGUCCUAAGGUAGCGAAAUUCCUUGUCGGGUAAGUUCCGACCUGCACGAAUGGCGUAAUGAUGGCCAGGCUGUCUCCACCCGAGACUCAGUGAAAUUGAACUCGCUGUGAAGAUGCAGUGUACCCGCGGCAAGACGGAAAGACCCCGUGAACCUUUACUAUAGCUUGACACUGAACAUUGAGCCUUGAUGUGUAGGAUAGGUGGGAGGCUUUGAAGUGUGGACGCCAGUCUGCAUGGAGCCGACCUUGAAAUACCACCCUUUAAUGUUUGAUGUUCUAACGUGGGCCCCUUACCGGGGUUGCGGACAGUGUCUGGUGGGUAGUUUGACUGGGGCGGUCUCCUCCUAAAGAGUAACGGAGGAGCACGAAGGUUGGCUAAUCCUGGUCGGACAUCAGGAGGUUAGUGCAAUGGCAUAAGCCAGCUUGACUGCGAGCGUGACGGCGCGAGCAGGUGCGAAAGCAGGUCAUAGUGAUCCGGUGGUUCUGAAUGGAAGGGCCAUCGCUCAACGGAUAAAAGGUACUCCGGGGAUAACAGGCUGAUACCGCCCAAGAGUUCAUAUCGACGGCGGUGUUUGGCACCUCGAUGUCGGCUCAUCACAUCCUGGGGCUGAAGUAGGUCCCAAGGGUAUGGCUGUUCGCCAUUUAAAGUGGUACGCGAGCUGGGUUUAGAACGUCGUGAGACAGUUCGGUCCCUAUCUGCCGUGGGCGCUGGAGAACUGAGGGGGGCUGCUCCUAGUACGAGAGGACCGGAGUGGACGCAUCACUGGUGUUCGGGUUGUCAUGCCAAUGGCACUGCCCGGUAGCUAAAUGCGGAAGAGAUAAGUGCUGAAAGCAUCUAAGCACGAAACUUGCCCCGAGAUGAGUUCUCCCUGACUCCUUGAGAGUCCUGAAGGAACGUUGAAGACGACGACGUUGAUAGGCCGGGUGUGUAAGCGCAGCGAUGCGUUGAGCUAACCGGUACUAAUGAACCGUGAGGCUUAACCUUACAACGCCGAAG
This 2598-nucleotide ribosomal RNA is filed under the name Escherichia coli. Its description in RNAcentral is "partial 23S ribosomal RNA". It matches the Rfam family "Bacterial large subunit ribosomal RNA", at positions 354 to 2925 of the family's 2925-position model. The record is from RNAcentral. Lineage: Bacteria; Pseudomonadati; Pseudomonadota; Gammaproteobacteria; Enterobacterales; Enterobacteriaceae. RNAcentral also lists the same sequence under 1 other name.